This is an RNA transcript of Eriocheir sinensis (Chinese mitten crab), 1497 nucleotides long. RefSeq lists it as uncharacterized. Lineage: Eukaryota; Metazoa; Arthropoda; Malacostraca; Decapoda; Varunidae. The transcript is spliced from 3 exons. The record is from RefSeq and is a predicted model, not a curated record.
AUGGUCAAGAGAGAGAAAAUAAAGGAGGUAUACGAUGAGCUCCCCUCCGGGCACCAAGGCACGGCUGGGGACGCUCCUUCCAGCAGGAGCAAGGCCGUUACCGGCCCACCGGAAAAGAUGCCCCUUAUCAGCAGCUUCAAACAGCGGGAUGCAUCUCAAACUCCGGUCAAGAAAACUAUCAGGUUCAACUUCCAAAACCUGAACACUUUCGUCAAAAUUCGUGAGCUGUACUGUGCCUACGACUACUGCAAGUAUGGCUUCCCUCUCUCCAGCAUUCGUCCUGAGCUGAAAAGCCUAAAGGAGAGAGCAGUGGAGCCACAGGAAGAGCCAGCAAAGGAAGCAGUAAACAAACUGCCAGAGGCUCAGAAAACAGUAACAGAGGAAGCAACAGAUUCAGCCAACAAAAUCAAUGAGCCACAACACCUCACAGGGAUCCUCAAGAAAGGAAAGACGGCCAGCACCGCUCAUAAAUGUGUGCGCUUUAACUUCCAGAACCUGAACACUUUCGUCAAGGAUCGUGAACUGUACUGUGGCUACGACUACUUCAGGUAUGGCUUCCGUCUCUCCAGCAUUCGUCCUGAGCUGGACAGGCGAAAGGAGAGAACAGUGAAGCCACAGAAAGGGUCAGCAAAGGACGCGGUAAAGAAACACAACACACGACACCAGCAAACAGUUGGAGCAGCUCGCUGUGCACAAAUGAAUACCACUACUGAAGGGAAGUCUCCUAAAGGUAUCCUGAAGAAAGAAAAGAUGCCACGGUCCACCUGUCCAAGACACGUGCCCUUCAACCUUGGUAACCUCCGCGCCCCCGUCAAGGAACGUGAGGUGUACCGUGGCCACGACACCUUCAGAUACGCCGCGCCGCUCCAAGUCACUCAGCCUCCCAACUUUACCUCGAGGCUUCACCAGCAGCCCGUUAGAUCCGCCUCUAACUCGCUGCGUGGCGCACCUCGGCACCUCGAGAGGCCGACACAGCGGAGCAACGACUCCUUCCAGCAAAACAGUGGCUGGUAUGCUGCACACAACUACACCAACAGCCGCCACUCACAGCACCGCCAGCACAACGCCAGCAGCCACGUCCCGCCAAGAUACGAAACAAGGCAUUUCUACGAGGGACAGACACAUCGGGGCACCAACUCCCGCAGCAGAAGUCGCGCCAAGAGAGGCGCAAAGCCGAGUGGUGGCGAGUUUCUGUGAGCACCGGGCGAGUACACAGCGUCGUGAUCAAACUCAAAUGUUCAGCGACGUACAGGUGACGUACAUUCCGGGUGCAUUUCUCAACACCCGCUGAACAGUCACUGUCGCUGACUGGUGAUAACAGAGACUGAGGAGUGCCAAGAAGCACCACAAUCACACUGAGAGGAACGGCUCGCCAGCUGACUAAAAUCACCAUGCAGAGGAACGCAUCCCAUGGAACGGUGCCACUUCUACGGAACAAAUUGUUCAAGAGUGUCGCAUCUGUGGGGAGUGUUUGGACGCAUGUGUGUGCUUACAUUU